CGCGUAGGUGGUCUGUCAAGUCGGGGGUGAAAUCUUUCGGCUCAACCGGAAAACUGCCUUCGAUACUGACAGGCUAGAGGGAGAUAGGGGUUGCGGGAACUACCAGUGGAGCGGUGAAAUGCGUUGAUAUUGGUAGGAACGCCGGUGGCGAAAGCGCGCAACUGGACCUCUUCUGACACUGAGGCGCGAAAGCUAGGGGAGGCAAACG
RNAcentral lists this ribosomal RNA (208 nucleotides) under uncultured bacterium. RNAcentral describes it as "partial 16S ribosomal RNA". It matches the Rfam family "Bacterial small subunit ribosomal RNA", at positions 568 to 775 of the family's 1533-position model. The record is from RNAcentral.